CCGGCCCCGCCGCGGCCUGGCCCGCGCUGCCGCCGCCGCCGCCGCUGCCGCUGCCAAUUCAUCACCUGUCAGGGAUCACUCGAGGGGUCACGGGAGGAAUGGACACAGCUUUUAUCCAGCCUUACAAUCCCUGGCAAUGCUCUUUAAAUGGAUGUCAAACUGGAUAUCUUGCCAAUCCGGCUGACUUCUACACAAUGAGGCAGGCAGGCUGGACUCUUGACAUGGCAGCUAAAGAAAGAAACACCCGAAGAACUUUCACCAUAUUUAGCCAUUUUGACUACAUCAGGGGACAGACAUGAUCAUGGGAGGAGGCACCGUCUUAAUCAACUCCGCAAGUGUGCAAAGUGAUUCUGCACAACACUCGUGAUGAUCCAGUCCAGAGCCUGGCUGUGGGAUAAUGAGACUGGCGCG
This is a long non-coding RNA of Suncus etruscus (white-toothed pygmy shrew), 411 nucleotides long. RefSeq lists it as uncharacterized. Lineage: Eukaryota; Metazoa; Chordata; Mammalia; Eulipotyphla; Soricidae. The transcript has 2 exons. The record is from RefSeq and is a predicted model, not a curated record.